GACGAACGCUGGCGGCGUGCUUAACACAUGCAAGUCGAACGGAAAGGCCCUGCUUUUGUGGGGUGCUCGAGUGGCGAACGGGUGUGUAACACGUGAGUAACCUGCCCUUGACGUUGGGAUAACUUCAGGAAACUGGGGCUAAUACCGGAUAGGAGCUCCUGCUGCAUGGGGGGGGUUGGAAAGUUUCGGCGGUUGGGGAUGGACUCGCGGCUUAUCAGCUUGUUGGUGGGGUAGUGGCUUACCAAGGCUUUGACGGGUAGCCGGCCUGAGAGGGUGACCGGCCACAUUGGGCCUGAGCUACGGCACAGACUCCUACGGGAGGCAGCAGAGGAGAAUAUUGCACAAUGGGCGGAAGCCUGAUGCAGCAACGCCGCGUGCGGGAUGACGGCCUUCGGGUUGUAAACCGCUUUCGCCUGUGACGAAGCGUGAGUGACGGUAAUGGGUAAAGAAGCACCGGCUAACUACGUG
This 468-nucleotide ribosomal RNA is filed under the name uncultured bacterium. Its description in RNAcentral is "partial 16S ribosomal RNA". It matches the Rfam family "Bacterial small subunit ribosomal RNA", at positions 28 to 507 of the family's 1533-position model. The record is from RNAcentral.